UCUAAUGCAUAUAACAGCAAGUGCAAAGUCUAUUGAGACCGUUUGACUUGUGCAGCUUACGUGACAGACACAUUCUAAAUAUACAUGCUAGGUAAAAUGGCAAAAACUGUGCAUGGGUCACAUUUACAUAAACUUUGAACAAGUGGAUAUCAAUACGAAACGGGUAUUUGCUGGCAUCUUGCACCUGUUACGAAGUACGACCUUUUUGAAUUAAACUUAUCAACAGAUGUUCCAGAAACGAAGCAGGACAAAGCAUAUAUUACAUCCAACUAUCAGCCAAUUAUCAGAGGAUAAAUGACUGUCGACAUCUACGCAUUUGGCUAUAAUGUAAAAGCCGCUACGGGCUACAUUGUUGAAGGAAUUAAUUGGAUCAGAUACGUUUGUUUUCCAAUUAUAUAUUGACAUUCUUCUAUAUAGAAUAUAUAGACCGUAAAGGAAGUGCAAUCAUCUCUGAUAUUGGUACAUCCGGGAGUUCGGUAGUGAUAUUAUUAUGGCCAAUAUGGUGGGCAGGCACCGGUGGAAACUGUUCUAUUUACUUGUAGUCGUUGGACUCCUGGGACUAAAUGUGUAUUUUUUGAGUUCUUUAUACCCCAGUUCACAAGCCAGUCCACCCCAGGAAUACGGAUUCAAUGAGAACGACGAAAGCUCUCUUGAUGAGCUUAGAAACAUCGUUUACGAAUUAGAGGAAUCUAUCAAACUAAAUGAAACCACAACUAUCAAACCAACUCCAGACUUUGGGAUGAAGUAACAUGUGACGUCAUAAUGACGUAACGUCAUAUUGUUCCGGUUUGCUCUUGCUUCGGAGAGUUUUGUGACUACUUUUCGGCUUUUGGAGCGUUUUUUUUUUUAAUUUUAAUAUUUUUAAAAAUGAGAC
Lingula anatina is the source of this 874-nucleotide long non-coding RNA. RefSeq lists it as uncharacterized. The record is from RefSeq and is a predicted model, not a curated record. Lineage: Eukaryota; Metazoa; Brachiopoda; Lingulata; Lingulida; Lingulidae.